UGCAAGUGUCUGAUAUCCAACAGUAAAAAGAAAAGCGGAGACUCGCAAGGGGAAAAACAUAAAACUUCAAGAGAAUUUCGACCUCAGUGCAUGAAACGCAUUGGAGCACCGUAGAUGUCUUCCUUUUGUCCCGAGAUUUUAUGGGACCCCUCCCUGCCAUCUUGGAUUCCCAUUAUUGUGCAGUUGUAUGGGUGCCCCUGUUCUGCCAACCACGCUCCAGGAUCGCCUCAGGGAGACAGAGCGAGACAAACAGGAAGACGUGGUGACAACAAGCCCAUGGUUGCAAUCUGCUGCUGGACUUCUGGGACGAAUCAGAUUUUAAAAAAAAAAGAAAAAAAUAGGUGGCCUAACCUUGACAGAUAUAUCCUCAAACAAGACCUCAGCAUAUAUUACUGUACACCCUAUGGAACCAAAUGAUUCAACUACAGUACUGUGUAUUUCACAGUGUGCGUACGCUAUAUAAAGUGACAGUUUAUUUUGUAAUUUGAA
Molecule: long non-coding RNA, 489 nt
Organism: Acanthopagrus latus (yellowfin seabream)
Lineage: Eukaryota; Metazoa; Chordata; Actinopteri; Spariformes; Sparidae
Exons: 3
Source: RefSeq, a predicted model, not a curated record